UUUUAUGGAGAGUUUGAUCCUGGCUCAGGAUGAACGCUGGCGGCGUGCCUAAUACAUGCAAGUCGAGCGAACGGACGAGAAGCUUGCUUCUCUGAUGUUAGCGGCGGACGGGUGAGUAACACGUGGAUAACCUACCUAUAAGACUGGGAUAACUUCGGGAAACCGGAGCUAAUACCGGAUAAUAUUUUGAACCGCAUGGUUCAAAAGUGAAAGACGGUCUUGCUGUCACUUAUAGAUGGAUCCGCGCUGCAUUAGCUAGUUGGUAAGGUAACGGCUUACCAAGGCAACGAUGCAUAGCCGACCUGAGAGGGUGAUCGGCCACACUGGAACUGAGACAC
RNAcentral lists this ribosomal RNA (338 nucleotides) under Staphylococcus aureus. RNAcentral's name for it is "bacterial SSU rRNA". It matches the Rfam family "Bacterial small subunit ribosomal RNA", at positions 1 to 327 of the family's 1533-position model. Lineage: Bacteria; Bacillati; Bacillota; Bacilli; Caryophanales; Staphylococcaceae. The record is from RNAcentral.